This is a long non-coding RNA of Rhagoletis zephyria (snowberry fruit fly), 556 nucleotides long. RefSeq lists it as uncharacterized. NCBI's taxonomy places the organism in Eukaryota, Metazoa, Arthropoda, Insecta, Diptera, Tephritidae. The record is from RefSeq and is a predicted model, not a curated record.
UUGAAGUAAAUUUUACUCAAUGGAGCAUGUAAAAAUUUCAUACACCCAGCGAAGCGGGUGAGGGCGAUCUAGUUGAAUAUAAGUCUUCCAUAAAAAUGCGAAAUACAAUAUUGUCAGCGAAAACAUAUGUAUGUAUGUAUAUUGAAGUCAUGAACUAAAAAGGCUAUUUCUCGUUUACCUAGUACAGAAAAUUCUGAAGUACAAUUUCGCGCUGCAUUCAGGAUCCAUAAAAAACGUUAUUUUAAAAACUCAUCACUAAACAAAACUAUAUAAUUUGGAUUACUCAGUAUUCGAUUUAAUCCAAUAUUCUACUUUCAAUUGAAUGACUGACUGAAUUCUAGUUCUUUUGUUUUAAGAAAUCACCAUUUAUGUUCAAAUUACUACUUGAUGUUAUACUUAAUUCACGGUAUUAAUGGUAUUUUAAGAGGAAUUUUAUUCCCAGCAUUUUAUUUUCAAUUCCAAUUUUAAGGAUUUUAAUGUAACUUUCUUUUGUGUUGAAUUAUUUAUUAUUAUUUUCUUAGAUUUGUUUUAAAUGAUUGGCCUUUGAAUUCUAAAU